AGUGAACGCUGGCGGUAGGCCUAACACAUGCAAGUCGAACGGCAGCACAGUAAGAGCUUGCUCUUACGGGUGGCGAGUGGCGGACGGGUGAGGAAUACAUCGGAAUCUAGUUUUUCGUGGGGGAUAACGUAGGGAAACUUACGCUAAUACCGCAUACGACCUACGGGUGAAAGCAGGGGAUCUUCGGACCUUGCGCGAUUGAAUGAGCCGAUGUCGGAUUAGCUAGUUGGCGGGGUAAAGGCCCACCAAGGCGACGAUCCGUAGCUGGUCUGAGAGGAUGAUCAGCCACACUGGAACUGAGACACGGUCCAGACUCCUACGGGAGGCAGCAGUGGGGAAUAUUGGACAAUGGGCGCAAGCCUGAUCCAGCCAUACCGCGUGGGUGAAGAAGGCCUUCGGGCUGUAAAGCCCUUUUGUUGGGAAAGAAAAGCAGCAGGUUAAUACCCCGCUGUUCUGACGGUACCCAAAGAAUAAGCACCGGCUAACUUCGUG
This 492-nucleotide ribosomal RNA is filed under the name uncultured bacterium. RNAcentral's name for it is "partial 16S ribosomal RNA". It matches the Rfam family "Bacterial small subunit ribosomal RNA", at positions 29 to 507 of the family's 1533-position model. The record is from RNAcentral.